This 485-nucleotide ribosomal RNA is filed under the name uncultured bacterium. RNAcentral describes it as "bacterial SSU rRNA". It matches the Rfam family "Bacterial small subunit ribosomal RNA", at positions 62 to 543 of the family's 1533-position model. The record is from RNAcentral.
UCGAGCGGCAGCGCGGGGGCAACCCUGGCGGCGAGCGGCGAACGGGUGAGUAAUGCAUCGGAACGUGUCCUCUUGUGGGGGAUAACCAGUCGAAAGACUGGCUAAUACCGCAUGAGAUCGAGAGAUGAAAGCGGGGACCGCAAGGCCUCGCGCGAGAGGAGCGGCCGAUGCCGGAUUAGCUAGUUGGUGGGGUAAAAGCCUACCAAGGCGACGAUCCGUAGCUGGUCUGAGAGGACGACCAGCCACACUGGGACUGAGACACGGCCCAGACUCCUACGGGAGGCAGCAGUGGGGAAUUUUGGACAAUGGGGGCAACCCUGAUCCAGCCAUGCCGCGUGUGUGAAGAAGGCCUUCGGGUUGUAAAGCACUUUCGGCCGGAACGAAAUCGCGCGAUCUAAUAAGUCGCGUGGAUGACGGUACCGGAAGAAGAAGCACCGGCUAACUACGUGCCAGCAGCCGCGGUAAUACGUAGGGUGCGAGCGUUA